This 465-nucleotide ribosomal RNA is filed under the name Porphyromonas sp. oral taxon C34. Its description in RNAcentral is "bacterial SSU rRNA". It matches the Rfam family "Bacterial small subunit ribosomal RNA", at positions 28 to 486 of the family's 1533-position model. Lineage: Bacteria; Pseudomonadati; Bacteroidota; Bacteroidia; Bacteroidales; Porphyromonadaceae. The record is from RNAcentral.
GAUGAACGCUAGCGAUAGGCUUAACACAUGCAAGUCGAGGGGCAGCACAAGGUAGCUUGCUAUCUGGGUGGCGACCGGCGCACGGGUGCGUAACGCGUAUGCAACUUGCCCUAUACAGGAGGAUAACCCGUCGAAAGACGGACUAAUACUGCGUAUGCUCACAACUUGGCAUCAAGUAGUGAGGAAAGAAAUUCGGUAUAGGAUAGGCAUGCGUCCCAUUAGCUUGUUGGUGAGGUAACGGCUCACCAAGGCAACGAUGGGUAGGGGAACUGAGAGGUUUAUCCCCCACACUGGUACUGAGACACGGACCAGGCUCCUACGGGAGGCAGCAGUGAGGAAUAUUGGUCAAUGGGCGAGCGCCUGAACCAGCCAAGUCGCGUGAAGGAUGACUGUCUUAUGGAUUGUAAACUUCUUUUAUACGGGAAUAACAAGAGUCACGUGUGACUCCCUGCAUGUACCGAUGAA